UACAGGCUUCAAAAGACAUUAGGGUUAGUAAAUGUUGACAGAAUUAAAUUACAUAUUUGUGCAAAAUUUUCCUUUAAACUCUAAAAGUUUCACAUGAUCAUUUACACAACUUUCACUUUCUAAGAUGAUAUAAAAUAAUGACAUUUUGAAUGACAACAUUCCCAUUGAGACAGACUGGAUUGUAACAAUAUUGAUGUUUUCAUAUUGUUUUAGCUCCAGUUAAAUCAGUGGGUAUUACAUGAAGAGGUGAGUCAUCUGCAACACCAGCAGAGUUUAUCCAGAACCAGAUGUAUUGUGGUUCUCGGAUCCCCCAACAAACAAACAAUCAAACAACUACAACAAAACAGAUGAAAACCUGUUCACGGUGACAAGUGAACUUAAAAACAUACUAUACAGCUACAGUAGUUUGAAACAGCAAGAAAUCUCAGUGCAAGAUGAGGUAACACUCCCAUGUCCAUUCACUGAGGACUUCAACUACAUUGUCACUGUGAAUUCUUCCAUCACUGUUCUGAAACAUGACAGCCAAACCUCUAUAAAAAAAAUCUCUGACCAGAUUAAAGGCAAGGUUAACUUUUUUGCCAGAUGGGACAGCCAAACUCCAUCACCUGAGUAAAGAAGACCAUUCAGGAACCUACACCUGUGAGAGCAGUAUUGCAGAAUCUAGAUACAUUAUGCACACCAUAGUCACACUAACAGAUGUGGGAGAUCAUCCAACCUUGGCAAUUGUCCUUCCUGAUUUGGCAGUCAUAAUCACAAUUAUAAUUGCCAUUACUUGUGUUGUGAAAAGAAAAAAAGAAAAGAAAAGGCGUAGCAAGGAGUACAAAGUUUACCAAAGCCAGCCAGAUCCAGCUCUGUUCCUGCUUGGUGUCGGACUCCACUGCUACGUGUCGCUGAGUGAUGACGACAAACUACAGCCGGUGCCAGCCAGUCAUCACUUCAGUCUUUUGACUUCAGAGGAUGAACUGAUGCCAACUCCAACUGUAAAACAUAGAAUACUUCAUAUGCCACUGCCUGAACACUGGGCUUAGGAUGGUCCCCACAAAACCUCACCAAAAUGUCCUGCCAGUUGAACUGUGAUGCACCUCAUUAAUCUCUGCCUGCAUCACCUUUGUCUAUUAAUGGACUACACUCUUGAAAUGGAAUACAUAGGCUAUCAUUUAAUUACCAACAAAAGCCUUCAUCAGCCAACUAACAAAGGACAAUGUAUCUCUGUGAACUUCUGCAGUUAAUCCAGGAUGGACUUCAAAAAGGCAUUAGUCAUUCAUCUUAAAGUUAAUAAAAAAUAUAUUAUUAUUAUUAUUUUUUUUUUUAAACACUGGACCUUAAUGCUUACAUAAUUUACAAAUUUUAAACCAUGACUUGUACUAUACAUAAGUAAGUAAUAUUGGCAUUAUAUUCAUGUUGUUUAGCCAGAGGGGAACUGGCCCCCACAGUGAGCCUGGUUUCUCCCAAGUUUAUUUUUCUCCAUUAACCAACAUCUUAUUGAGUUUUGUGCUUCUUGUCACAGUUGCCUCCAGCUUGCUCACUGGGGUUCUAAAUACAAUUAUUAUUUAAUUAUUUAAUUUUUAUACAUAAUUUACAAUCAUAUUUAAUCAAACUACACAAUAAUCACUCAAGACUUUAUAGAUAUUGGUUUCUUUUCUUUUUUUUCUCUUUUUUUUUUUUUUUUUUUUUUUGUUAAUGCAUGAUUUCCUGUAAAGCUACUUUGAAAUGAUACGUGUUGUGAAAAGCGCUAUACAAAUAAAAAUGACGACUUAAUUUGUUGAUUCGUGCAAAAUUAUUUUAAUUUAAUGUGUUUGCUGAUGCGGAAAAGUAUAUCUGACACUUUAAAUUACUGUCAAUCCACUGUCAUUGGUAUUCUGCAGCAAUACUCAAGAUGGAAUGUCCAAAGUUUAAGA
Long non-coding RNA from Myxocyprinus asiaticus (Chinese sucker), 1898 nucleotides. RefSeq lists it as uncharacterized. The transcript has 4 exons. The record is from RefSeq and is a predicted model, not a curated record. NCBI's taxonomy places the organism in Eukaryota, Metazoa, Chordata, Actinopteri, Cypriniformes, Catostomidae.